This 200-nucleotide ribosomal RNA is filed under the name uncultured bacterium. RNAcentral describes it as "partial 16S ribosomal RNA". It matches the Rfam family "Bacterial small subunit ribosomal RNA", at positions 8 to 220 of the family's 1533-position model. The record is from RNAcentral.
AGAGUUUGAUCCUGGCUCAGAAUCAACGCUGGCGGCGUGCCUAACACAUGCAAGUCGCACGAGAAAGCGGACUUCGGUCUGUGAGUACAGUGGCGCACGGGUGAGUAACACGUGAAUGAUCUACCUCCGAGUGGGGAAUAACCUAGGGAAACCUGGGCUAAUACCGCAUAACACUUACGAGUCAAAGCAGCAAUGCGCUU